AGCUGUGUCAUAUGUUGCCAAU
This 22-nucleotide microRNA is filed under the name Melibe leonina. Its description in RNAcentral is "mle-miR-31-3p". Its record names the gene mle-miR-31-3p. Lineage: Eukaryota; Metazoa; Mollusca; Gastropoda; Nudibranchia; Dendronotidae. The record is from miRBase by way of RNAcentral.